RNAcentral lists this small nucleolar RNA (122 nucleotides) under Echinops telfairi (small Madagascar hedgehog). RNAcentral describes it as "Small nucleolar RNA SNORA61 (ENSETEG00000024072.1)". The record is from RNAcentral. Lineage: Eukaryota; Metazoa; Chordata; Mammalia; Afrosoricida; Tenrecidae.
AACUGCCCAUUUGCCUUUCUCAUCGGAUCUAAACAUGGGUCAAAGUGGUUACAAAAAGAGGAAAAGUCACAUUGAAACUGACUUCAGUGCUUUUGUAGCCCGUAGGCUAGGUUCAAACAAUU